Molecule: ribosomal RNA, 682 nt
Filed under: uncultured bacterium
Lineage: Bacteria
Description: bacterial SSU rRNA
Rfam family: Bacterial small subunit ribosomal RNA
Source: RNAcentral
GGGGAUAACACUUGGAAACAGGUGCUAAUACCGCAUAACCAUAGUUACCGCAUGGUAGCUAUGUAAAAGGUGGCUAUGCUACCGCUUUUGGAUGGGCCCGCGGCGCAUUAGCUAGUUGGUGGGGUAAAGGCUUACCAAGGCAAUGAUGCGUAGCCGAACUGAGAGGUUGAUCGGCCACAUUGGGACUGAGACACGGCCCAAACUCCUACGGGAGGCAGCAGUAGGGAAUCUUCCACAAUGGGCGAAAGCCUGAUGGAGCAACGCCGCGUGGGUGAAGAAGGUCUUCGGAUCGUAAAACCCUGUUGUUAGAGAAGAAAGUGCGUGAGAGUAACUGUUCACGUUUCGACGGUAUCUAACCAGAAAGCCACGGCUAACUACGUGCCAGCAGCCGCGGUAAUACGUAGGUGGCAAGCGUUAUCCGGAUUUAUUGGGCGUAAAGGGAACGCAGGCGGUCUUUUAAGUCUGAUGUGAAAGCCUUCGGCUUAACCGGAGUAGUGCAUUGGAAACUGGGAGACUUGAGUGCAGAAGAGGAGAGUGGAACUCCAUGUGUAGCGGUGAAAUGCGUAGAUAUAUAGAAGAACACCAGUGGCGAAAGCGGCUCUCUGGUCUGUAACUGACGCUGAGGUUCGAAAGCGUGGGUAGCAAACAGGAUUAGAUACCCUGGUAGUCCACGCCGUAAACG